Molecule: ribosomal RNA, 900 nt
Filed under: uncultured bacterium
Lineage: Bacteria
Description: bacterial SSU rRNA
Rfam family: Bacterial small subunit ribosomal RNA
Source: RNAcentral
GGCUUACACAUGCAAGUCGAGCGGGGGAAGGUAGCUUGCUACUGGACCUAGCGGCGGACGGGUGAGUAAUGCUUAGGAAUCUGCCUAUUAGUGGGGGACAACAUCUCGAAAGGGAUGCUAAUACCGCAUACGUCCUACGGGAGAAAGCAGGGGACCUUUGGGCCUUGCGCUAAUAGAUGAGCCUAAGUCGGAUUAGCUAGUUGGUGGGGUAAAGGCCUACCAAGGCGACGAUCUGUAGCGGGUCUGAGAGGAUGAUCCGCCACACUGGGACUGAGACACGGCCCAGACUCCUACGGGAGGCAGCAGUGGGGAAUAUUGGACAAUGGGCGGAAGCCUGAUCCAGCCAUGCCGCGUGUGUGAAGAAGGCCUUUUGGUUGUAAAGCACUUUAAGCGAGGAGGAGGCUACUAAGAUUAAUACUCUUGGAUAGUGGACGUUACUCGCAGAAUAAGCACCGGCUAACUCUGUGCCAGCAGCCGCGGUAAUACAGAGGGUGCGAGCGUUAAUCGGAUUUACUGGGCGUAAAGCGUGCGUAGGCGGCUUUUUAAGUCGGAUGUGAAAUCCCCGAGCUUAACUUGGGAAUUGCAUUCGAUACUGGGAAGCUAGAGUAUGGGAGAGGAUGGUAGAAUUCCAGGUGUAGCGGUGAAAUGCGUAGAGAUCUGGAGGAAUACCGAUGGCGAAGGCAGCCAUCUGGCCUAAUACUGACGCUGAGGUACGAAAGCAUGGGGAGCAAACAGGAUUAGAUACCCUGGUAGUCCAUGCCGUAAACGAUGUCUACUAGCCGUUGGGGCCUUUGAGGCUUUAGUGGCGCAGCUAACGCGAUAAGUAGACCGCCUGGGGAGUACGGUCGCAAGACUAAAACUCAAAUGAAUUGACGGGGGCCCGCACAAGCGGUGGAGCAU